GACGGUACCUAACCAGAAAGCCACGGCUAACUACGUGCCAGCAGCCGCGGUAAUACGUAGGUGGCAAGCGUUGUCCGGAAUUAUUGGGCGUAAAGCGCGCGCAGGCGGUUUCUUAAGUCUGAUGUGAAAGCCCCCGGCUCAACCGGGGAGGGUCAUUGGAAACUGGGGAACUUGAGUGCAGAAGAGGAGAGUGGAAUUCCACGUGUAGCGGUGAAAUGCGUAGAGAUGUGGAGGAACACCAGUGGCGAAGGCGACUCUCUGGUCUGUAACUGACGCUGAGGCGCGAAAGCGUGGGGAGCGAACAGGAUUAGAUACCCUGGUAGUCCACGCCGUAAACGAUGAGUGCUAAGUGUUAGAGGGUUUCCGCCCUUUAGUGCUGCAGCAAACGCAUUAAGCACUCCGCCUGGGGAGUACGGUCGCAAGACUGAAACUCAAAGGAAUUGACGGGGGCCCGCACAAGCGGUGGAGCAUGUGGUUUAAUUCGAAGCAACGCGAAGAACCUUACCAGGUCUUGACAUCCUCUGACAACCCUAGAGAUAGGGCUUCCCCUUCGGGGGCAGAGUGACAGGUGGUGCAUGGUUGUCGUCAGCUCGUGUCGUGAGAUGUUGGGUUAAGUCCCGCAACGAGCGCAACCCUUGAUCUUAGUUGCCAGCAUUCAGUUGGGCACUCUAAGGUGACUGCCGGUGACAAACCGGAGGAAGGUGGGGAUGACGUCAAAUCAUCAUGCCCCUUAUGACCUGGGCUACACACGUGCUACAAUGGGCAGAACAAAGGGCAGCGAAGCCGCGAGGCUAAGCCAAUCCCACAAAUCUGUUCUCAGUUCGGAUCGCAGUCUGCAACUCGACUGCGUGAAGCUGGAAUCGCUAGUAAUCGC
RNAcentral lists this ribosomal RNA (874 nucleotides) under Bacillus sp. (in: firmicutes). RNAcentral describes it as "bacterial SSU rRNA". It matches the Rfam family "Bacterial small subunit ribosomal RNA", at positions 471 to 1345 of the family's 1533-position model. Lineage: Bacteria; Bacillati; Bacillota; Bacilli; Caryophanales; Bacillaceae. The record is from RNAcentral.